Molecule: ribosomal RNA, 497 nt
Filed under: uncultured bacterium
Lineage: Bacteria
Description: partial 16S ribosomal RNA
Rfam family: Bacterial small subunit ribosomal RNA
Source: RNAcentral
GAUGAACGCUGGCGGCGUGCCUAACACAUGCAAGUCGAGCGGACGGACGAGAAGCUUGCUUCUCUGAUGUUAGCGGCGGACGGGUGAGUAACACGUGGAUAACCUACCUAUCAGACUGGGAUAACUUCGGGAAACCGGCGCUAAUACCGGAUAAUCUUUUGAACCGCAGGGUUCGAAAGUGAAAGACGGUCUUGCUGGCACUUCUAGAUGGAUCCGCGCUGGAUUAGCUAGUUGUUAAGGUAACGGCCUACCAAGGCUACGAUGCAUGGCCGACCUGAGGGGGUGAUAGGCCACAUGGGAACGGAGACGGGGUCCAGAGGCCUACGGGAGGCAGCAGUAGGGAAUCUGACGCAAUGGGCGAAAGCCUGACGGAGCAACGCGGCGUGAGUGACGAAGGUCUUCGGUGCGGAAAACUCUGUUAUUAGGGAAGAACAUAUGUGGAAUUAACUGUGCACAUCUUGACGGUACUUAAUCAGAAAGCAACGGCUAACUACGUG